CGCGGGGUGGAGCAGCCUGGUAGCUCGCAAGGCUCAUAACCUUGAGGUCAGGGGUUCGAAUCCCUUCCCCGCAACCA
RNAcentral lists this transfer RNA (77 nucleotides) under Bradyrhizobium sp. UNPF46. Its description in RNAcentral is "tRNA-Met". It matches the Rfam family "tRNA". Rfam says of the family: Transfer RNA (tRNA) molecules are approximately 80 nucleotides in length. Their secondary structure includes four short double-helical elements and three loops (D, anti-codon, and T loops). Lineage: Bacteria; Pseudomonadati; Pseudomonadota; Alphaproteobacteria; Hyphomicrobiales; Nitrobacteraceae. The record is from RNAcentral.